Molecule: long non-coding RNA, 502 nt
Filed under: Helianthus annuus (common sunflower)
Lineage: Eukaryota; Viridiplantae; Streptophyta; Magnoliopsida; Asterales; Asteraceae
Description: hypothetical non coding rna
Source: RNAcentral
GUGAUUAGAACAACUCCCACUAUUAUUCGCUCAUCGCAAUUCAUCCGUAGAUAGAAUAUUCCCUGGCACCACCAACAGUGCCAACGAUUUCCCAGCAAGGUAUGUUUAUGAUUAAGCGCUGUUUUUUUUUGUUGUUGGUGAGGGUUUUGAUUAGCGAUUUUUUUUUCUUUUGUAUCGUUUGCGUAUCAUGAAUUUUGGGGGUUUUACUUGUGUGCUACCGUAUCUUGAAUAAUGAUGGGGAUUUGAAUAUUUAUUUGUUGAAUUGGUGAUUCAUAUGGGUUGGCUUCCAUUCGUCUUGUUAGGCCUAUGAGUCUAUGACUCAGUUUAAAAUUAUACCUUAAAGUUUCUCCAAUUUCUAGUAUUUGACAUUCUUUUAUAUUUGACAUUGUUUGGCAUAUGGGCACCUUCGUAUCUAUUUCUGUUUCACUAUUUCAAUUUGAGACCAAUUGCGUUAAUUAGGGUUUCACGUAACUGAAAUCCAUUGAUGCAAAAACUUAUAUGA